UGUGUUGCUUACCUACGGAAAGGAAUUCGACCGUAUCGUUUCCCCUCUCCGCUCGAUGCACUAUGUGGGCAUGGGGUGGACGCUAGGCACGCUACGUGUUCCUCGCAAGCCUUGCCUUGUUCUAGGGGGCUGUUGAGGCCCACGGGGCCGUUGCCCGUUCUCUCGGAUGCGGAACGUCAUGCAUGGGUGCGGGGUCUCGGCCUCUGCUUGCCCAAGCUGAAGCAUUUGUCCCUUGACACGAACGACCGCCUCGGCCGUCUUGAUCGCGUUGUAGCCUACGUGCUUGACGGGGCUCAUGCGGCCGUUGGCGUCGUCGAGGAAUGCUACCUGGUUGAUCCUGCCAGUAGUCAU
Molecule: unclassified non-coding RNA, 351 nt
Filed under: Loxopterygium sagotii
Lineage: Eukaryota; Viridiplantae; Streptophyta; Magnoliopsida; Sapindales; Anacardiaceae
Description: partial external transcribed spacer
Source: RNAcentral